This 838-nucleotide ribosomal RNA is filed under the name uncultured archaeon. RNAcentral describes it as "bacterial SSU rRNA". It matches the Rfam family "Archaeal small subunit ribosomal RNA", at positions 21 to 859 of the family's 1478-position model. The record is from RNAcentral.
AGGUUACUGCUAUCGGUGUUCGCCUAAGCCAUGCGAGUCAUAUGUUCGUAAGAACAUGGCGUACUGCUCAGUAACACGUGGAUAACCUGCCCUUGGGUCCGGCAUAACCCCGGGAAACUGGGGAUAAUUCCGGAUAACGCACAUAUGCUGGAAUGCUUUAUGCGUAAAAUGGAUUCGUCUGCCCAAGGAUGGGUCUGCGGCCUAUCAGGUAGUAGUGGGUGUAAUGUACCUACUAGCCUACGACGGGUACGGGUUGUGAGAGCAAGAGCCCGGAGAUGGAUUCUGAGACAUGAAUCCAGGCCCUACGGGGCGCAGCAGGCGCGAAAACUUUACAAUGCGGGAAACCGUGAUAAGGGGACACCGAGUGCCAGCAUCCUAUGCUGGCUGUCCGGGUGUGUAAAAUACACCUGUUAGCAAGGGCCGGGCAAGACCGGUGCCAGCCGCCUCGGUAACACCGGCGGCCCGAGUGGUGAUCGUGAUUAUUGGGUCUAAAGGGUCCGUAGCCGGUUUGGUCAGUCCUCCGGGAAAUCUGACAGCUUAACUGUUAGGCUUUCGGAGGAUACUGCCAGACUUGGAACCGGGAGAGGUAAGAGGUACUACAGGGGUAGGAGUGAAAUCUUGUAAUCCCUGUGGGACCACCUGUGGCGAAGGCGUCUUACCAGAACGGGUUCGACGGUGAGGGACGAAAGCUGGGGGCACGAACCGGAUUAGAUACCCGGGUAGUCCCAGCUGUAAACGAUGCUCGCUAGGUGUCAGGCAUGGCGCGACCGUGUCUGGUGCCGCAGGGAAGCCGUGAAGCGAGCCACCUGGGAAGUACGGCCGCAAGGCUGAAACUUAA